GGCACACGGUGAAGAAGAGCUGCUGGGAAGGGUUCUGUUCUCCCAUCCUUAUUCGAUAAAUUGAUUCUCGAAAUUUCCGAUGUCUGGUGCCAGCAGUGUUCUCAAGGCGUUGCGGCCGCAUAUCCCGAUGAUUAAAUUCCGCAAGGGAGGCCGAGCCGUGGCUCAGUCGGAUCAGAAAGUUUCCGCCUCUGUCGGCUCCUCAGCCCGGGGCUCGGGAAUAGAAGAGAAUCUUCUACCUCGGAGAUACGCUCGACUGCCGCUAGAAGAACAGGAAGCAGAACUCGUGAUGAGUGGCGGAGCGUUUUAGGGGCCGGGCGAUAGGAGCUAGAAACACUCACGGCGCACCUGACCGACUGGGGACUCGUGAGACUUUUG
RNAcentral lists this long non-coding RNA (375 nucleotides) under Galendromus occidentalis (western predatory mite). RNAcentral describes it as "uncharacterized LOC100908007, transcript variant X1". The record is from RNAcentral. Lineage: Eukaryota; Metazoa; Arthropoda; Arachnida; Mesostigmata; Phytoseiidae.